CGCCUGUUUAUCAAAAACAUCGCCUGUAGCCCCUCCUCUAUUACAGGUAUACCCUGCCCAGUGUAACUGUAUCAACGGCCGCGGUACCCUGACCGUGCAAAGGUAGCAUAAUAAUUUGCCUUUUAAUUGGAGGCUGGUAUGAAAGGGAAAACGAGAAUAGCCCUGUCUCCGACACGUACAUAAAAACUUAUCUUCAGGUGAAGAAGCCUGAAUCAAUAUAAAAGACAAGAAGACCCCGUCGAGCUUUAGUCUGAUCUUAGGGUCACAGUUAAUUCCAAUAUACUUCCCCCUAUAAGCGACUUUUGUUGGGGCGACAACGGACUAAUUUAUCAUCCGACAAACCGUAGAUCCUUAAUCAUACAAAAGAUCCUCUACAGACCACAAGAACAAGCUACCGCAGGGAUAACAGACUAAUCUCCCCCCGGAGCCCAAAUCUACGGGGAGGCUUGGCACCUCGAUGUUGGCUUAGGGAUCUCUCUUAAAUGAAGCAGUUUAAGAAGUGGGUUUGUUCAACCCUUAAUACCCUACGUGAUCUGAGUUCAGACCGG
RNAcentral lists this ribosomal RNA (548 nucleotides) under Marphysa bellii. Its description in RNAcentral is "partial 16S ribosomal RNA". It matches the Rfam family "Bacterial large subunit ribosomal RNA", at positions 1797 to 2619 of the family's 2925-position model. Lineage: Eukaryota; Metazoa; Annelida; Polychaeta; Eunicida; Eunicidae. The record is from RNAcentral.